CGCCGGGACCUUCGCUGGAUCACACCGCGGAAGAGCGAGCCGAGGUCGCCGCCAUGCUCGCAGCGUUGGGCUCCCUGGCGGCUGCCUUCUGGACCGUUCUCCGUCCCCGCACUGUCCUGCUGGGGGCCGUCGCCUUUCUCUUCUUUGCUGAUUUCCUCAAAAGGCGGCGCCCGAAGAACUACCCGCCGGGGCCCCCGAGCCUGCCCUUCGUAGGCAACUUCUUCCAACUGGACUUUGAGAAGGGGCACCUGUCGCUUCAGAGGUUUGUGAAGAAAUAUGGGAACCUUUUUAGCCUGGAAUUCGGUGACUUGCCUUCAGUUAUUAUAACUGGAUUGCCCUUAAUCAAAGAAGUCCUUGUCCACCAGGACCAAAACUUUGUGAACCGCCCUAUAACCCCUAUUCGAGAACGUGUUUUUAGGAAAAAUGGCUUGAUCAUGUCCAUAGGCCAGGUAUGGAAGGAACAAAGAAGGUUUGCCCUGACAACACUGAAGAACUUUGGUUUAGGAAGGAAGAGCUUAGAGGAGCGCAUUCAGGAAGAGACCCACUUCCUCAUCCAGGCAAUAGGAGAGGAGAACGGACAGCCUUUCGACCCUCACUUCAAAAUCAACAAUGCAGUUUCCAAUAUUAUUUGCUCCAUCACAUUUGGGGAGCGCUUUGACUAUGAGGACGAUCAGUUCCAGAAGCUGCUGAGGCUGCUGGAUGAGGUCACAUAUCUCGAGACAUCAAUGUGGUGCCAGCUCUACAAUGUCUUUCCAAGGAUAAUGAAUUUCCUUCCUGGACCCCACCAAAUGCUCUUCAGGAACUGGGAGAAACUGAAAAUGUUUGUUGCCCGUGUGAUUGAAAACCACAAGAGAGGUUGGAAUCCUGCUGAAGCAAGAGACUUCAUUGAUGCUUACCUCAAGGAAAUAGAAAAGCAUAAGGGCAGUGCUACUUCAAGUUUCCACAAAGAAAACCUCAUCUACAGCACCCUGGACCUCUUCUUUGCUGGAACGGAGACAACUUCGACGACCCUGCGCUGGGCUCUGCUCUACAUGGCCCUCUACCCCGAAAUCCAAGAAAAAGUCCAAGCUGAGAUCGACAGGGUGCUUGGCCAAUCACAGCAGCCGAGCACGGCAGCUCGAGAGUCCAUGCCCUACACCAACGCUGUCAUCCACGAGGUGCAGAGAAUGGGAAACAUCAUCCCCAUGAAUGUGCCCAGAGAGGUGACAGUGGACACCACCCUGGGUGGAUACCACCUGCCCAAGGGGACCAUGGUCCUGACCAACCUGACUGCACUGCACAGGGACCCCGCAGAGUGGGCCACUCCCGACAUGUUCAAUCCAGAGCAUUUUCUGGAGAAUGGACAGUUUAAGAAAAGGGAAGCCUUUCUGCCUUUCUCAGUAGGUAAGCGGAUGUGCCUUGGAGAACAGUUGGCAAGAACUGAGUUGUUUAUUUUCUUUACUUCCCUUGUGCAAAAAUUCACCUUCAGGCCUCCAAACAAUGAGAAGCUGAGUCUGAACUUCAGAAUGAGCCUGACCAUCUCUCCAGUCAGCCACCGCCUCUGUGCCGUUCCUCGGGCAUGAAGUUGUCGGGGAGGGAGAGGGUAAGGAAAGCAGGAAGAAUGGCCGUGUCACCCCAAGGCAGGAGCGCCUGCUCAGCAGUGAGGGAACAGCAUGCAGUGCCUCUGAGGACAGGUCAUAGGAACUGGACUCAGAGGAAACAGGAUCCAAACCCCAGCUUUGCCAUCUCCAGUGGAGCCUUGAGCAAAUCAGUCAGAUCAUCCACGUAGAAGACUGAGAAAUUGGCCAAAAGACUUUCCAUUAUGUACUGUCUCCUCAACUGUUAAAUGAAGGACUUUGUUGAGUGAUCUCUGAAUUCCGUUCCUGCACUGCUGUUCAUUUUCCAUGAUUCUAAGUGGGCAGGCAUUUAUGUACUUGCUGUGGAAUCAAUGGAAAACCCUCGGACACUCAUCCUGACCUAAUAGAUGCAAUGGGACCCAGAGCCAAGUACAGUGUGACCACAAUUAACCAGAAAGCUUGGGGACACAUGACUGAGAGUAGCUGAAUUUUCUGGUCAUAUAAAAUGUCUCCUUCUUUCCCCAAAGCUCAUUGGAGAAACUCUAAAAUAUGAAUUCUCUUCCUGUCCAAGCAUGACACAAAGAUUUUGUUUUCUUCACUUUUGUAACUCUCUUGUUGCUGGUCCAUUUUGGAAGCUCCUGCUCCCCUUUCCCUCUUCCUUUGUAUAUGUGUCUGACACACAGGAGGCCCCCAAUCCACCAGGGCCCUCCAUGUGCAUUGCCCUUGAGGGGGUCAUGCUUUUCCUCUACGUAAUGCCUCUCUCCCAAUCUUGGGCAUCUGCAAAUUCAGCUCCUUUUAUCCCAUAUUACCAGUGCAGUCAGUCCUCUUGCUAGGAUCCAAGAUGACCCCAAGCUGGCUGUGCAAUAGGGUCCACAAUAUGUCACAUUAUGACAAAGAUGACAUUAUGUGGAGAUCCCUCCCAAAAGAGCCCUCUCAAGAGAGCCACUGCAGUCGCCCUCACUGAGCCUAUUGCCUAUAGGAAGUUUCAAACCUCCAUGUGACACUCGUUCUUGUACUCCAGGAACUCCACACAGCACAGGUAAAUCCCUCUUGGCUUGAAGCCUCCUCCCUGGUGAGGGGUAACUAUGUCCCUCCCUCCUUUGUGGGAGAUGGGUGGGAAGUAAGGGGGACCCUCCUGUUAAAGAAAACCAGAGAUGAACAGUAGUAAAGUGUCAAAACCAGACUUCAUUCAUGACUAUUGCAAUAGAAGGAGAGAGUCUUCAGUAUAGAACUGGGCUCAAUUCUGCAUAAAGCAUGGACAGGUGGGGCUUUACAGCCAAGGAGCAGGGUGGGGUCAGUGGAUGGAAAAGGACAAGGUUAAACUGAUUCCACAGGAGUCUGGCUGAAGGCAGGCCCGGGUGAUCAGAUAUUGAGGGUAAGGGUUUCCCUCUAAUCUGGCUGAGCAAGAAUCUUGCUGCAACUUGCAAGCCAGACAAGGACAGUCACCAAGGUCAAUGUCUAGAGAGUUUAGAGCAUCCUGACUAAAGUUUACUCCAGCAGAGUCCUUUCCUCACCUUACCACCUAUUAUAUACCCUCUUUCCAGGCAGUGGGCUACAGGGUUACAAAAGCUGUUUCCACGUACCCGUGGCAGGGCCCGUACAGCGUCCCAGUGACUUACUUUAGACCUGGGGCCUCACCAGCACUUGGCAGGGACCACUUGACUGGCAGAAACUGGGACUCCAGCUGAAACUGAGAAAGAAAGAAGCCCUUUUUCACAUUCCUUUACAAAUGUGCUAUCCGGGCCACAAUCAGACCGUGAUGCUAUUUCUCUUUUUAUGUUGAAUGAAAGUGUAGAUGAAUGACACAGGACUCCUUAGGACAUUGCUGUUUCCAAAGGUCAGCACUGUGAAUGGCAGGAACAGGCCAGGACUAUAAAUGUAGCAGAAAUUGGACCAACGCUGUACAGCUGUGAC
This is an RNA transcript of Physeter macrocephalus (sperm whale), 3470 nucleotides long. It is a transcript of the gene named cytochrome P450 family 2 subfamily J member 2, with no coding region annotated. The transcript has 10 exons. Lineage: Eukaryota; Metazoa; Chordata; Mammalia; Artiodactyla; Physeteridae. The record is from RefSeq and is a predicted model, not a curated record.